This 207-nucleotide ribosomal RNA is filed under the name uncultured bacterium. RNAcentral describes it as "partial 16S ribosomal RNA". It matches the Rfam family "Bacterial small subunit ribosomal RNA", at positions 568 to 774 of the family's 1533-position model. The record is from RNAcentral.
CACGUAGGCGGACAUUUAAGUCAGGGGUGAAAUCCCACGAGCUCAACUCUGGAACUGCCUUUGAUACUGGGUGUCUUGAGUAUGGAAGAGGUGAGUGGAAUUCCGAGUGUAGAGGUGAAAUUCGUAGAUAUUCGGAGGAACACCAGUGGCGAAGGCGGCUCACUGGUCCAUUACUGACGCUGAGGUGCGAAAGCGUGGGAGCAAACA